Non-coding RNA from Callithrix jacchus (white-tufted-ear marmoset), 982 nucleotides. The record is from RefSeq and is a predicted model, not a curated record. Lineage: Eukaryota; Metazoa; Chordata; Mammalia; Primates; Cebidae.
AGCAGUUGGUAAAUGUUUUGCAUAUCAUCCCUGCCUGUUAGAGUGGACAAUAUUAGCAAAGGCACCGAGGAGGAAUAAUCUUGGCCUGUUUAUCAAACGCCACUGCUACAGUGAGCAGUUCUAUCCAACCAGCUUCACGUAGCAGCACGCUGAGCAUGCCUCUUCUCACUGCCCGUCCCUGGAUUCUCAGAUGCAGUGGCUGGCUGGGGUGUGCCAUCUAUGAUGAUUUUAAAAAGCAAUGAGAAAUGUACUGACAGAUCUGGUCACCAUUCUGAAAGAGCAAUCAACUAAGAGAGCAUGCAGCUCUGACAAUUGCUGGAAAUCAUCGUGUGGCCCUAAGGAGUGCGAGCCUAAAGAUGCAGCAGAAAGAGGGAUGGUGAGAUUACUGAACUUUUGAGUCAAGUCACAUCCAAAGCUCAUGUGACCUCUGAUCUUUUCAAAUAAAUGAGUUAUUAAAUAUUUUAUUUAAACCAGUGUAAGUCAGGCUUUCUCUUAUCUGGGACGGAAAGACUCUCAACUGCUAGAGUAUACAAGCAAGUUUUGUAACUUGCAAAUCACGAUAAAACAUUUUUAAAAUUAUUUUUCCACUAUGAAUUAGCAAGAAUACCUGUGACCCAGGGGGCUGGUUGAGGAAAAUUUCUAAGCUUUUGUUUUAAUUUAGUACCCUCUUUUGGAAAAAAUUGUUACCGACUGACAGAAUGUUCAGAACUAGAUCCCAACAAGAAUAAUCACAUAUGUAAAAAGAAACAGGCAUUUAAAACCUAUAAAACUGAGGGAGUUGUGUGUGAGACUGAGUGAGAAUAUAUUCUUAUAUUCAAAUAUGUAUAAAAUUCACAAGUCAUAAAGGUAAAGACUGUCGGAUUUGGCUACAUAAAAAUAAAACUACAAAUACUGCUAUAUGGCAAAAGAAAAGAAAAGAAAAAGAAACCCAGAGUUAAAAUGUAAGCAACAAACUGAGGGGAAUUUUUGUAGCUUAUAUGAA